This 825-nucleotide ribosomal RNA is filed under the name marine bacterium BBT31. Its description in RNAcentral is "partial 16S ribosomal RNA". The record is from RNAcentral.
CGGUAAGUUGGAAGUCGUACCACGUAUUCUCCCAGUUGUCAGCGUUUUGCUCUCCUCGACGGUUGAGUAUUUGUAUUCUUUUUAUUAGCUCGCCUGCUUCGCUUGUGAACCGAGGCAAUGGGGAGUAUGACUUUAAAACAUAAGUUUGCAAGGGAUAUAUUAAUAGCUCUAGGAUCGGCCUGUACUGUUUUAUUUAGGUGGUGAGGUGAUGGCUCGCCAAGACGAUGACAUUACGCUGUUUUGCCGGAUGCUCCCCCUGUGAAACUGACACAUUGUCCAGAGUCCUAGCGGAGGAAGGAUGGGGAAUAUUGCACAAUGGGCGAAACCCUGAUGGCGCGACGCCGCCUGAAGGAUGGCAGGUUUAAGUGCUAUUGCUUUUUUUAUAUUGGAAGGUAAGGAGAGUACUGCAUGAAUAAUCGCCUGCUAAUUCCAAAGUAGCAACCGAGGAACUACGGACGACCCCCGGGUUACGCGGAAGCACUGUUCGUAGGGUGUUAGUAGCCAUCUGAAUUACUGUGAAGUGAGCGUAUGCAGUUUGUUAUGUAAAUGCUAAGGGCCUGCGCUCGGGAUUUCACUUAGAAAAAGUAUUUGUAAGUGACGGAGUAGGGGUGUUUGAGUGUGGGGGCAGAAAUUUCCCGAGCAUCGAGAAAAAGCCCCAUAUCGCUGUGGGAAUCCCCCGCCCCAAACCGACCCCCUCUGGCCAAAACCUGGAGAGUUAGAAGCGAAAACAGGUGGUAUAAACGAUCCCAUACCCUGGUAGCCCCCCCCGUGAUGAUAUCACUAGGGAGUCUGGCCCCGACCCGUGCCCCCCCUGGUGAAGCGCCA